GGUCUCUUAGUAUAAAGGUUAAUAUCCUUGCUUUGUAACCAAGGGAUGUAAGUUCGAUUCUUACAGGGACCUCA
RNAcentral lists this transfer RNA (74 nucleotides) under Crassvirales sp. RNAcentral's name for it is "tRNA-Thr". It matches the Rfam family "tRNA". Rfam says of the family: Transfer RNA (tRNA) molecules are approximately 80 nucleotides in length. The record is from RNAcentral. Lineage: Duplodnaviria; Heunggongvirae; Uroviricota; Caudoviricetes; Crassvirales.